GGGGUUGUGGCUCAGUGUGAGAGGGUCUGCUUGGCACACAGAAGUCCCCAGGUUCAAUCCCUGGCAUCUCCC
Molecule: transfer RNA, 72 nt
Filed under: Sphaerodactylus townsendi
Lineage: Eukaryota; Metazoa; Chordata; Lepidosauria; Squamata; Sphaerodactylidae
Description: tRNA-Ala
Rfam family: tRNA
About the family: Transfer RNA (tRNA) molecules are approximately 80 nucleotides in length.
Source: RNAcentral